UGCACGAGAAGCAUUAUAAAGCCUUUACACAGCAUUUCCUUGGUAAUUCAUUAAUCUAAACUCCUUAAUGACAUACAAUAAACCCUCAGUGGAGUACAGUUAUCAGCUCCUUGGCUGAGGAUGCCAGUCACACCCCUCUUUAUGACACUCUCCCACUUUCAGAAAUUGACCACGAAGGUAUGCAAAACAUUUGCCUACAACCAAUAAAUAGCUCAAAUACAACACCUGAAACCAAGCCUCCAUGUAGGGAAUGUACUCAGCUUUCUACCCACUUCUCUUUGGCUUGCAGUCUUACCCAGAAACAGAGCAGUAGGAUGAGGAUGGCAAAGAAUCAACACAUCUCAUUCUGCUCAGUUAUGCCCACCAAGAGCAGGUCCUGAUAUCCAACUCCCCCCCUUCUUCCCAGCCCUAUGGUUUACAGCCAUCAAUUUCAGCAUCCCAACAAUGUGGUUCAUCCCACCAAGUUCCAAUGGCCACCAGCUCCUCCCAUUUGUUACUUAUUAUGUGUGCCUUCGCGUAGGGGCAUUUCACUUGGGCCCCUGACUGCCUAUUCAUCUCUUAAUACGUUUCAGCUCCUUUAGACAUAUGCAGCCUGCAAGCCUCAAAGUCAAUCCCUACAAAACCCCACAGUUCAGGUAUGCGCAUGCGCGAUAGCGGCCAGCUCUCGCCGCCAGCUGGAUUGCACGCAGUACACAGCGCUACUUCCGCGUUUCCGCGCGCAUGCGUGGUAUCUCAUGGAGGACCUAAUACCAUAGAGCCUGGCAGCGCAGAGCGGCUCAAAGAGGAGCAAUGCGGUGGGGCACGCAGGUAUCACACAGUGCUGCGCCAAUGGCGGGGCCGCUGGGAGAUCCCAACCGACAGAGCGUGUGGCUCUCUGGGUUCCCUGUUUCUUGGAGCUACAGAUGAAUAGUUAUUGCAGUGUGUUGCCAAACUGUGACAGCCAGCCGUCACCAGCCAUGAAGUACUUCAGAGACAAUCCAAAUGUUCUCUCCGAACGUCAUCAUGGAAGAAGCAGCAUUUUGUGGGAGCUCUCAUGAGGUGGAAGGAGAAGAGAAAUAAGCAGCCACACUUCUGAAGAAAGUCAAGGGGAAAGCGUAAAUAAUAAAAGCUUUGGCAGCAGCUGUAGAGCUGGAAUGAGAAUGGAAUAGAAAGCUGCAUUUUAAUCACAGCUUGUACAUUUUUGUCCUUAUACAAGUCAGUGAAAUGUGACAGUGCCAAGAAGUUGCAUCUGGUUUACACCAAGGAAGCUAAAGAGGUGACUUGAUCACUGCCUUCAAGUACAAGAUCUGCUGCAAAUGGAACCAUUUGGAAUGCAGCCUAAAUCCCACUGGAGCAAUUGGGAUGCAGAUGGCAAGGAAGGCUGAAGGGAAUUUGGAUACAUGCUGUGCCAUGGAUGUCUAAAUGGGAGAGAGGGUCUUCUAGGAGCACAUAAAGGACCCUCGAGGAGACAAGCAUUGGGAAAAAACUGUGUCAGAACAUCUGAAAUGCCUCCUUCAUCAUCCCAACUUUGGGAGCACUUAUUUAACCUAUAUCAGCAUGACUCAAAACAACAUCAGUGUUUGUCUCUGGAGUGAAAAGAAAUAAUGUGCUUUGUUCUGCUGCUUCCUAUUCAAAGAGAUGUCACCACGAUGAAGCCCUUGAUGGAUUCCUGGGUGAGUCCCACAUGGUGGUGAUGGAUUGCUGCUCUGUGCUGCUGCACGCUCCAGCUGUCUCCAUGGUUCAGUCUGCUGGAUUGACAGAGCCCAUAAAUCACUCUGGAAGCCAGCAGGGAGGCAGAGAGGAUGUGUCUUUGUAGCACAUUUACAUGCUGUAUCAGCCCCUUGCAGUCUGGGAGCAGAGGGGAGGACGGAGGCAGCAGAACAAAGUGUGCAGGUAAGGCAGUGGAGGUGUGGAUGUGCAGGCACAACGUGUGCACAAGGAAAUGUCUCGUGGGCUUCUGUGCCAGUGGGUGCACAUCUGGCUGCAAAGGGCCUCUUGCACAGUGUGAACCAUGUGUGGCUUUGAGUGGAAGGGAUCCCAGCACUGGGAAAAAACUCAUAGCCAGGAUGUGUUUGUGGGAAAGGAGGUUGAGCUUAGAUCGAUCGUAGGUUUGGAAAGGACCCUUGAAGGUCAUGUAGUCCAACUGCCAUUCACUGAACAGAGACACCUGCAGUUCCAUCAGGUGCUCAGAGCCUCAUCCAGCCCGACCUUUGAUGUCUCCAAACUUGGCUGCCUUGGCUUGGUGUAGCUCUUUGUGUGCCCAUAAACAUAAGGGAUAUCUGUAGCAGAAAUGCUAAGUCACGGCUUCAAGCAGUGAUUGAGCACCUGGAGGGAAGGCAGGGCCAGCUCAGGGGAGCUCAGCUGCAUGCAAUGGAGCCGGAUCCACCCCUUCCCAGACCUGAUUUAAAGGUUGGCAGUGGGAGCAAAGGUAUUUUGCUGGAGAUCCUUGUGUACUUUGAGGCUUUUGGAAGGUUGAUGCUGGUGUCCCUCUCUUCACCACUCCCACUGGGAAGCACUAAAUGCCAAAUCACUAAAAGCAUCGCCGGUUGCUCUGAGGAACGAUUCAUCACUCUGGUUUGGUGGCAGCAUAUUUAUCCCCCCGUGAGCCCACCCUACAAGAGGAGAGAGAGUAAUCGCACUGGGAAGCAGAAGUUGCUGCAGAGGUGAAAGGUUCUGCAACUGACUCACUGGAAAAGGGGGAGAACGAUGUGCAAAAGAACCUGCAGAUAUCCCAGUGGAUUUCAGAUCCUCUUCCCAUGUUCCUUGGAGCUCAAACACAAACAUUGUGACAGAGCUCAGAACUCUGAGUUUGUGUCCAUGCAACAACAGCCCUGGUGGAAUGUCUGAAGGGUCCU
Non-coding RNA from Meleagris gallopavo (turkey), 2834 nucleotides. NCBI's taxonomy places the organism in Eukaryota, Metazoa, Chordata, Aves, Galliformes, Phasianidae. The record is from RefSeq and is a predicted model, not a curated record.